Molecule: long non-coding RNA, 613 nt
Filed under: Capsella grandiflora
Lineage: Eukaryota; Viridiplantae; Streptophyta; Magnoliopsida; Brassicales; Brassicaceae
Description: long non-coding RNA (CGRA_LNC001005)
Source: RNAcentral
UCAUUUUGUAUCACUUAAAUUAUAUCACAAAAGUAAGUGAUAGUAUUUUAAAUUACUUAUUUGUAAAUGAAGCAACUUAGCAUCAAUUAUAUUAGUUGAUGUUAUAAUUAACUAAUUUUACAUCAAUUAGAUAAAACUGAUUUAAUUUUUAUUAGUUUAUAUCACUUUAAGAAAAUUGAUAUAAGAUAUGAAUUUACAUCAUUUAGAUAAUUGAUCUAUUUGUUAUUUUUCCAUAAGAUCACUUUUUAAAAUGAUACAAAAUUUGUAUCAACAAAAACUGAUGUUAAAAAAAGUAACUAAUAUAAAAAAUAAAAUAAGAAAGGUAACUUAAAUUUUUUUUUUUAUCGAGCAGCAAAUCUAACUGUAUAUCUUUUUCCCUAACCUCCUAAUCCUUUAUCGGAUCUAUAUAUCUUUCUCUCCCAGAUUUUUUGAGAAGCAUAUCACCAUCUCUUUAUAUUUAUUCUUUCGUUGUGGCAUGCCUUUACUUAGUUCUCUGUUUUUUUUUUUUCUCAAUAGAUGGCGAAGGAACUUGAUGAUAAGGCUAAAGAAGUUUUCGUAGAUGACUAGUUAUUGACGUGGAAGAUGCCAACAAAGCUAUUGAGUUGAACCAUUC